Molecule: small RNA, 28 nt
Filed under: Bombyx mori (domestic silkworm)
Lineage: Eukaryota; Metazoa; Arthropoda; Insecta; Lepidoptera; Bombycidae
Description: ovarian small RNA-25850
Source: RNAcentral
UCAGUUUGUCGAGUUGGUCUUCUAUAAG